RNAcentral lists this ribosomal RNA (331 nucleotides) under uncultured bacterium. RNAcentral's name for it is "bacterial SSU rRNA". It matches the Rfam family "Bacterial small subunit ribosomal RNA", at positions 568 to 898 of the family's 1533-position model. The record is from RNAcentral.
CGCGUAGGCGGGAUAUUAAGUCUAUUCUAAAAGUGCGGGGCUCAACCCCGUGAUGGGAUGGAAACUAAUAUUCUUGAGUACCGGAGAGGAAAGCGGAAUUCCCAGUGUAGCGGUGAAAUGCGUAGAUAUUGGGAGGAACACCAGUGGCGAAGGCGGCUUUCUGGACGGUGUCUGACGCUGAGGCGCGAAAGCCAGGGGAGCGAACGGGAUUAGAUACCCCGGUAGUCCUGGCCGUAAACGAUGGGUACUAGGUGUAGGGGGUAUCGACCCCUCCUGUGCCGGAGUUAACGCAAUAAGUACCCCGCCUGGGGAGUACGGCCGCAAGGUUGAA